GUCGCAAGACCAAAGUGGGGGACCUUCGGGCCUCAUGCCAUCAGAUGUGCCCAGAUGGGAUUAGCUAGUAGGUGGGGUAACGGCUCACCUAGGCGACGAUCCCUAGCUGGUCUGAGAGGAUGACCAGCCACACUGGAACUGAGACACGGUCCAGACUCCUACGGGAGGCAGCAGUGGGGAAUAUUGCACAAUGGGCGCAAGCCUGAUGCAGCCAUGCCGCGUGUGUGAAGAAGGCCUUCGGGUUGUAAAGCACUUUCAGCGGGGAGGAAGGCGA
RNAcentral lists this ribosomal RNA (274 nucleotides) under Klebsiella quasipneumoniae subsp. quasipneumoniae. Its description in RNAcentral is "partial 16S ribosomal RNA". It matches the Rfam family "Bacterial small subunit ribosomal RNA", at positions 192 to 454 of the family's 1533-position model. The record is from RNAcentral. Lineage: Bacteria; Pseudomonadati; Pseudomonadota; Gammaproteobacteria; Enterobacterales; Enterobacteriaceae.